AGCUCUGACUGCUUAUUGCACCACAUGUGUUUUUCUUUGAAACAAACUUGCUUUGGCGGUGGGCCCAGCCUGCCGCCAGAGGUCUAAACUUACAACCAAUUUUUUAUUAACUUGUCACACCAGAUUAUUACUUAAUAGUCAAAACUUUCAACAACGGAUCUCUUGGUUCUCGCAUCGAUGAAGAACGCAGCGAAAUGCGAUACGUAAUAUGAAUUGCAGAUAUUCGUGAAUCAUCGAAUCUUUGAACGCACAUUGCGCCCUCUGGUAUUCCGGAGGGCAUGCCUGUUUGAGCGUCGUUUCUCCCUCAAACCGCUGGGUUUGGUGUUGAGCAAUACGACUUGGGUUUGCUUGAAAGACGGUAGUGGUAAGGCGGGAUCGCUUUGACAAUGGCUUAGGUCUAACCAAAAACAUUGCUUGCGGCGGUAACGUCCACCACGUAUAUCUUCAAACUUUGACCUCAAAUCAGGUAGGACUACCCGCUGAACUUAAGCAUAUCAAAAGGCGGAGGAA
This 510-nucleotide ribosomal RNA is filed under the name Candida albicans. Its description in RNAcentral is "eukaryotic LSU rRNA". The stretch from base 143 to 296 matches the Rfam family "5.8S ribosomal RNA". The record is from RNAcentral. Lineage: Eukaryota; Fungi; Ascomycota; Pichiomycetes; Serinales; Debaryomycetaceae.